Molecule: ribosomal RNA, 684 nt
Filed under: Rhizoprionodon terraenovae (Atlantic sharpnose shark)
Lineage: Eukaryota; Metazoa; Chordata; Chondrichthyes; Carcharhiniformes; Carcharhinidae
Description: partial small subunit ribosomal RNA
Rfam family: Bacterial small subunit ribosomal RNA
Source: RNAcentral
CCACCGCGGUUAUACGAGUGACUCACAUUAAUACAUCCCGGCGUAAAGAGUGAUUUAAGAAUGACCUCCUAUCAUUAAAGUUUAGACCUUAUAAAGCCGUUAUACGCAUCCAUAAGUGGAAUAAACAACAACGAAAGUGACUUUAUAAAUCAAGGAACCUUGACCUCACGACAGUUGGGACCCAAACUAGGAUUAGAUACCCUACUAUGCCCAACCAUAAACUUAGACAACACUCCACUAUAUUGUUCGCCAGAAUACUACAAGCGCUAGCUUAAAACCCAAAGGACUUGGCGGUAUCCCACACCCACCUAGAGGAGCCUGUUCUAUAACCGAUAAUCCCCGUUCAACCUCACCACUCCUUGCCAUUACCGUCUAUAUACCGCCGUCGUCAGCUCACCCUGUGAAGGACUAAAAGUAAGCAAAAAGAAUUAAACUCCAAAACGUCAGGUCGAGGUGUAGCAAAUGAAGUGGGAAGAAAUGGGCUACAUUUUUUUUCAAAAAUAAACGAAUGGUAAACUGAAAAAACACCUAAAGGUGGAUUUAGCAGUAAGAGGAGGUCAGAGUACUCCCCUGAAAUUGGCUCUGGGAUAAGCACACACCGCCCGUCACUCUCCUCAAAAUAAUCUACUUUUUCCAUAAAUACAUUUCCUCAACAAGAGGAGGCAAGUCGUAACAUGGUAAGUG